This 253-nucleotide ribosomal RNA is filed under the name uncultured Eubacteriales bacterium. RNAcentral's name for it is "uncultured Clostridiales bacterium partial 16S ribosomal RNA". It matches the Rfam family "Bacterial small subunit ribosomal RNA", at positions 524 to 776 of the family's 1533-position model. Lineage: Bacteria; Bacillati; Bacillota; Clostridia; Eubacteriales. The record is from RNAcentral.
UACGGAGGAUCCGAGCGUUAUCCGGAUUUAUUGGGUUUAAAGGGAGCGUAGGCGGCAGGGCAAGCCUGAUGUGAAAGCCCGGGGCUCAACCCCGGGACUGCAUUGGGAACUGCCCCGCUCGAGUGCCGGAGGGGCAGGCGGAAUUCCUAGUGUAGCGGUGAAAUGCGUAGAUAUUAGGAGGAACACCAGUGGCGAAGGCGGCUUACUGGACGGAAACUGACGUUGAGGCUCGAAAGCGUGGGGAGCAAACAGG